This is a small nuclear RNA of Sciurus vulgaris (Eurasian red squirrel), 189 nucleotides long. Its record names the gene U2. It matches the Rfam family "U2 spliceosomal RNA". Rfam says of the family: U2 is a small nuclear RNA (snRNA) component of the spliceosome (involved in pre-mRNA splicing). Complementary binding between U2 snRNA (in an area lying towards the 5' end but 3' to hairpin I) and the branchpoint sequence (BPS) of the intron results the bulging out of an unpaired adenosine, on the BPS, which initiates a nucleophilic attack at the intronic 5' splice site, thus starting the first of two transesterification reactions that mediate splicing. Lineage: Eukaryota; Metazoa; Chordata; Mammalia; Rodentia; Sciuridae. The record is from Ensembl.
ACUGAAUCAGCCUUUUGGCUAAGAUUAAGUGUAGUAUCCGUUCUUAUCACUUUAAUAUCAGAUACAUGCUCUAUUUAAAGACAAUGUGUUAAAUGAACAUUUUGGAGCAGGGAGAUCAAACAGGAGUUAUUUCAUCCCCUUCCUGCAUCGCCCUGAGUGUACAUCCUUCCAGGGGUUGCGGGGGAAGCA